AGUGAACGCUGGCGGCAGGCCUAACACAUGCAAGUCGAGCGGCAGCGCGUCCGACCACCCUCGGGUGGUCGGAUGGCGGCGAGCGGCGGACGGGUGAGGAAUGCAUCGGAAUCUGCCUCGUUGUGGGGGAUAACGUAGGGAAACUUACGCUAAUACCGCAUACGACCUACGGGUGAAAGUGGGGGACCUUCGGGCCUCACGCGAUGAGAUGAGCCGAUGUCAGAUUAGCUAGUUGGUGAGGUAACGGCUUACCAAGGCGACGAUCUGUAGCGGGUCUGAGAGGAUGAUCCGCCACACUGGAACUGAGACACGGUCCAGACUCCUACGGGAGGCAGCAGUGGGGAAUUUUGGACAAUGGGCGCAAGCCUGAUCCAGCCAUGCCGCGUGAGUGAAGAAGGCC
RNAcentral lists this ribosomal RNA (400 nucleotides) under uncultured bacterium. RNAcentral describes it as "bacterial SSU rRNA". It matches the Rfam family "Bacterial small subunit ribosomal RNA", at positions 30 to 416 of the family's 1533-position model. The record is from RNAcentral.